RNAcentral lists this long non-coding RNA (226 nucleotides) under Elaeis guineensis (African oil palm). Its description in RNAcentral is "long non-coding RNA (EGUI_LNC017902)". The record is from RNAcentral. Lineage: Eukaryota; Viridiplantae; Streptophyta; Magnoliopsida; Arecales; Arecaceae.
CCCGUGGUCUGGCUUGAAAGACUGAUGCGCGAUAAGUAGAAGAUUCGUUCUUAGAGAGUCAAACUGAAUGCUGCGCUACGCCGGAUCCAAGCCCAAACACCUUGGGUUGAGUCCAACCUGAACCCGGUCUGGCCUGCCCAUGAAGCAGAUCUAUACAGCAUCUAUAGCUGACACGUCUUAUAGUUGCUGGCCCAGACAAUGGGCUAUCAACAGUGAUAUAUAUAUC